UAAUAUAAAUUCUACUUCAUUUUUUUCUUCGAUUGACAAAGAAUUUGGUGCUGACAAGUUUCGAACUCAUAUCACUGGUAUCAUUACCCAGUCAUUACCCGGGAGGAUAUUAGUCCAAAAUUUAGGAAAGAAACAGAAGAAGAAAAAUUUUCUUCGCAGGGCCACUUUUAGAGCAUGAUUCCUUUCGCUACAGUGUGGAACCUUUUCAUUAACCUCAUUGCCCCUGUAUAAACAUCCUAGAAUUAGGGUUUCAGAAUCACCUUUUGUGUCUCAUAUAUAAAUUUUGGUGUUUUUUGGAUUUCUUCUUGCCGUCUGGAAGAACAGUAAUAGAAAUUGUAGAGAAUGGCUAUGAGAGCAAUUUUUAACAAGAUAUCUCAUUUCUCUUCUAAUACUCUAUCAUUAGGUUUCAUAGAAGGAACCCUAAGGAUUCGUCGUUCCUUUUGGUGUUCAAGAUUCCGACCAACUACUAGAAUAUUUGCCACUAAGGAGGAGGAGGAUGAAUUCAAUGCAUUGAAGUAUUAUAGAUAUCUGGAAACGAACAUACCGAAUGAUGAGUUUUCCGAUAUGAUUUUUGAUUCCAUGUAUGAAUCCUGUCGAUAUGAUCUGCCGGAUGGUUAUCGUCCUUCAAAAGUUGUCGAGGACCUUAUACAAAAAGAGGCAGAAGAUGGUGAACGACAAAGAACUUAUGAGGAAGAGCUUGAAAAUGAAAGACUUUAGGAAGAGGUUGCCCAAUCGCUCCGUUAUAGAUAAGCAGCCCUAGUUAAAUGGGAUAGGCCCAAUUAAGCCAGGAGUAAAAAAUAAAUCACUGAUAGGAGAUCCUGGGUGUUAGAGAUCUUACCUCAUAUUCUUCUAGAUAGGGGAUGCAUAAGCCGAGCAGUCGUCUGAUUGGUAUCAUACUUCCUCUCCUUCGUUGAACUAUUACAAUGCGCGAAUAAAAACAGUCUGCGAAUGAGAACUACCUAACUAAUAAACUUCACAACAGUCUCUAGAAAGCAUAUUACUGAAAAAAAAAGAAGAAAAUAAUUGUCUUCUUUCUUUCU
This is an RNA transcript of Papaver somniferum (opium poppy), 1040 nucleotides long. RefSeq lists it as uncharacterized. Lineage: Eukaryota; Viridiplantae; Streptophyta; Magnoliopsida; Ranunculales; Papaveraceae. The transcript is spliced from 4 exons. The record is from RefSeq and is a predicted model, not a curated record.